GCCCGUGUGAUGGAAUGGUAGACAUAACAGACUUAAAAUCUGUGGCCUUCGGGCGUGGCGGUUCGAGUCCGCCCACGGGUACCA
This 84-nucleotide transfer RNA is filed under the name bacterium. Its description in RNAcentral is "tRNA-Leu". It matches the Rfam family "tRNA". From Rfam's summary of the family: Transfer RNA (tRNA) molecules are approximately 80 nucleotides in length. Their secondary structure includes four short double-helical elements and three loops (D, anti-codon, and T loops). The record is from RNAcentral. RNAcentral also lists the same sequence under 7 other names.